UGGGGAAUUUUGGACAAUGGGCGAAAGCCUGAUCCAGCAAUGCCGCGUGUGUGAAGAAGGCCUUCGGGUUGUAAAGCUCUUUCACCGGUGAAGAUAAUGACGGUAACCGGAGAAGAAGCCCCGGCUAACUUCGUGCCAGCAGCCGCGGUAAUACGAAGGGGGCUAGCGUUGUUCGGAAUUACUGGGCGUAAAGCGCACGUAGGCGGAUUGUUAAGUCGGGGGUGAAAUCCCGGGGCUCAACCCCGGAACUGCCUUCGAUACUGGCAAUCUAGAGUCCGGAAGAGGUGAGUGGAAUUCCGAGUGUAGAGGUGAAAUUCGUAGAUAUUCGCAAGAACACCAGUGGCGAAGGCGGCUCACUGGCCCGAUACUGACGCUGAGGCACGAAAGCGUGGGGAGCAAACA
This 402-nucleotide ribosomal RNA is filed under the name uncultured bacterium. RNAcentral's name for it is "bacterial SSU rRNA". It matches the Rfam family "Bacterial small subunit ribosomal RNA", at positions 355 to 774 of the family's 1533-position model. The record is from RNAcentral.